RNAcentral lists this long non-coding RNA (8668 nucleotides) under Lynx pardinus (Iberian lynx). Lineage: Eukaryota; Metazoa; Chordata; Mammalia; Carnivora; Felidae. The record is from RNAcentral.
GUUGCCUACACGCAAGGUCUCGUUGCCACCUCCUCAAAACAUACAAGGUAAGAACAAACCAAGCCGGAUGAAGCUACUUUCCUGCUCAAACUCUAUAGUUGCUUCAUUGCCCUCGGGAAAGAGUCCGCUCUUCACCACAGCCUUCCGGGCUCUAUGGGUGUUGGCUCGGCCAGCCUGCCUUGUCUUCCACCCUGAACCUGGAACAGGCUCCAGUGCAUGAGUUUUUCUCUCACUCCAAGGCUUUUGCUUGGAAUCCUGCUCCCCCCACCCCAUCCUCUCCCCUGUAGAACUCCUCCUCUAGUUCCCAACUCAGAUGUCACCUCCUCCGGGAAGCCUUCCAAACCUGCCCUCCCACCCACCUACCGGCUCAUUGAGAUGCUCUUCUUCUGUGCUUCUCAUGCCCUUCCAGCUCCCCGCAGCCUCAACCCUGCCCACCCCAUCUCUCCCAUUGCUGAGGCCCUUCCAUGGCCUGGGCCUAUAGUCGUGGGCUCCAGACAGACUCUGCGGGAUGAACAACAGCCUGAGACCCACAGAGUCACAUCAGGGAAACAGCCUUCCCCUAAUUAAACAUGCAAAGAAAUGAGCAUCAGUCUUGGCUCUGAAGGCCAUUUUUUUUUUUUAGAAGACGGUGGCUCUCAAAAUUAAACACCACCCAAACACAUUCUUAUUUUGCAGUGAGAAGGAGUUGGGUGUGUGUGUGUGGGGGGGUGGGGUGGGGAGAAGCGCACCCGUCCUACUCCCCCUCCCUCAAAGCACAGAGCCUUCGGGAGGCAACUUCUUCCGGUGGGCCCCAGGGGCCAACUGAGACCGGCUCCCAUGCUCUCAAGGGAGGGCUCAAGCCUCUAAACUUUGCCCUACCUCCUUCCCUUCUUUUUACCUUGAAUGGGCCUGUUUGAAAACAAUCAGACUCUUCUUUGAGCCCCAGAGGCAUUUAUCCCUUAGGUGACGGCCUGGUAGUAUCCUGGGGAUCUUGUAGGAUGGGAUCCCCUCCUAUCCCUCCUGCAAUGUAGAUGCACUGAAACAGACCAGAGAGGGGAAGGGGCUUGUCUCUUCCACCUCCUGGAGGCGCAGAGGCAGAGGUCUGGACACAGGGCUCUUCCUGCCAGGUGGAGACUCUCGGUAGUGUGUUCUAGGCCCAGUGUGAUGCCAGGACUUCCCACCUGAGCCACUGGCUCCCCUCUUUUAUGCCACAUCUACUUUCCUGCUCUGGACUGAAUGAUGUCCCCCAGCCUGCCCCACUGAUAUGUUAAAGCCCUAACCCCCAAUGUGACAGUAUAUGGAGCCAGGGCCAUUAGGGAAGUAAUUAGGUUAAAUGAGGUCUUAAGGGUGGAGCCUGGAUCUAAUAGACUUAGUGAUACUAGCAGACUCCACCACGCGAGGACACAGCAAGAAGGUGACCCCUCUGCCAGCCAAGAGGGGAGCCCUCCCCAGAACCCCACCAUGCUGGCACACGGACCUCAGACGCCAGCUUCUAGAGCAGUGAGAAAACAAACUUCUGUUCUUUAAGCCACCCAGCCUGUGGUCUUUGUUCCAGCCCCAGAGCUGAGACCCCUCCCAGCCCCUCUCUGCUCUGCUCUUCCCCUCGCCCCUGCUGCUUCAUCUGUCAACACUCGGGUUCCUUUUCUUCCUGAGAUCCAGAGUGUUAGCCUUCUCGGAGGUUUCCCCCUUUACUCCCUGUCCUUCCCCUCCUUUUCUCCUGUUCCCCCUCUUUCUUCUCUUUUCUGCACUCUGACUCUCAUUUCUGCAAUUGUAGCCUCAUCGUUUAUCAUUUUCCUCUGACCCCUACCCAGCAUCUCCUGCCACCUCCUGGACUUUUCUACUUGGACAUUCUGCUGUCAGAGACGGGCAUCCACUCUUCCCUCCUGGACCAGAAAAUUCGUGCCCCCUCCCAACUUUCCAGUUCACACCGUUGGCAGCCCCCCCCCCUCCCCGAAGCAGCUGCAUUGCUUUGGAAUAAAUUCCCCAGCCACCUUGGCCCUCCCCUCCCUCUGGGCCAGAGAAGAGUGGGUGUGAGGUGCAGCCUUAGGGAGUGGUUAGCAAACUUGGUCGAAUAGUCAAAAUGCACAGCUGCUGUAGCCACAGGAUUUGAAUAGCUGGCGGGGGGGGCCUCUGUGAGUCAUGAGGGACAAAACCACGCGGCCCCCACCUCUUGUGUUUCUUCUUGGAAUCGGCUGUGUGGGUGUGAGCACCCUCUCACGAAGACCUCUGACGCGAUGCGUCCUGAAAGGAGACGACCAGCUGACCUGUACAGAGCACUCUGCACUUACAAAGCAGGUUCACACAUCUUGCCUCAUUUCCACCUUACGAUGACCCUGUGGGGCUGGGAUUGUUAUUCCCGGUCAAGAGCUGGAGCGAGGAGGCCCUGAGAGUGGCUGGCCAUUAUGGGUAGGUGGCCGGAUUGGUCUUCCUACUUAACAGGAGGAGGAAAGAGCUCUUUCCCUGUCAGGGUCUCGUCAGUUGUCACCUCCAUACAUGAGGGCAGUGGAAGCUUGGCUCUGUGGGAUGAUUUGCUCAGUUCUUCUGCUGCUCACUGCUGUCAUGAGGGUCCAAACCCACGUGGUUCUGACUCCAAAGUUCAUGGAUGCACAAAUUCAUUAGGUGCCUUGACUUCCAAAUCCCAGGACUUCCCAUUGACUCGGAAGGACUUCCCAAUGGCUCCUGAGCUGUGUCUUGUCACCCUGUCACAGUGGUUCCCAGGCUGGAGGGUCAUUGUCUCUAUCAUUACCCUCACCUUUGGUACUGCUUCUUCUUCUUUUUUUUUUUUAACGUUUAUUUAUUUUUAAGAGAGAGAGACAGACAGAGCAUGAACGGAGGAGGAACAGAGAGAGAGAGAGAGAGAAGGAGAGAGGGAGACACAGAAUCUGAAGCAGGCUCCAGGCUCUGAGCUUUCAGUACAGAGCCUGACUCGGGGUUGAACCCAUGAACUAUGUAAUCAUGACCUGAACUGAAGUUGGGUGCUUCACCGACUGAGCCACCCAGGCGCCCCUGGGACCACCUCUGAAGUGCUCACUAAUGCCUAACACUGCACCAGAUGCAUGAUAUAACUGAUGUUCUGGGGUGAAGUUGAUCCCCCCACCAAGCUUGUGUGUCAAAGUCCUCACAGCCAAUAGCUCAGAUUAUGACUAUAUUUAAAGAUAGGGUUUAAAGGGGUGCCUAGGUGGCUCGGUCGGUUAAGCAUCUGACUUCAGCUCAGGUCAUGAUCUCGAGGUUCAUGAGUUCAAGCCCCACAUAGGGCUCUGUGCUGACAGCUUGGAGCCUGGAGCCUGCUUUAGAUUCUGUGUCUCCCUCUCUCUCUGCCUUUUCCCUGCUCACUCUCUGUCUCUCAAAAAUAAAUAAAAAUGUUAAAAAAAAUUUUUUUUUAUGGUAGGGUUUAAAAAGAGGUAACUUAAAAUGAGGUCAUUAGGGUGGGCCCUAAUUUGAUAUGACUGGUGUCCUUACAAGAAGAGGGAGUUAGGACACAGACAUGCACAGAGGGAAGACCACGUGAGGACAGGGAGAAGAUGACCAUUUGUAAGACCAGGAGAGGGUGUCUUCCUCAGAAGGAACCGAUCCUGCGGUCACUUUGAUCUUGGACUUCUGGCCUCCAGAACCGUUAAGGAAGAAAAUGUGUGUUGUUUAAGCCUCUGGCCUGUGGCGCUUUGCUCUGGUAGCCUCGAAAACUCCUAUACCUGGUCUCUGUUAGUUCUCAAAGGCAUUUUGGGGAAUAGGGGUUGCAGUCCCAGGGGUUCCCAAAGAAGGCAGGGGUGCAAGGAGAAUGGGCCUCAUGAGGCUUCCUGGGAAACCUGCUGACAGCCAGAACAGGGCCCACAAAGUGGCAGUUAUAUGGCUGAGAUCUCCAUCUUGGGGGCUGGUGGCCUCAGCUCUAUGAGGUCAGAAACCCCGGGGUCAGCCCACUGAGAAUGGAAACCACCCAUCUGCCCCUGCCCGGGCCCUGCCUCUGUGCCAGGCACCUGCUCAGUGCUAUACACGGCAGCCCCCACCUUCUCUUCACUUUACACGUGGGGCCAGGGAGGCUCACGGGGUUUCCCUGGCUUGCCCAGGAUGCCGCCGCUUGUAGGGACUAAGGUAGAGUGUGAACCUGGUUUUGCUCGCUCCAGAACUGAGUCACGCCGGCCAACUCAGAAAGAAUGGUGUGUAAUAUAUAUACACACACAGCUGAUGUGAAGGGGCGUUCAUCAUGAGAGCACUCCCCCUCCACAGUCUGGCCUGCGUGAGUCCCUGGAGGGUGCUCCGUUCCCCGUAGCCAUGCUUGUCCGAAAGUGAUUGGUAAUUCUGGAAUUGGGGUGAGGAGAGUAAGUAUGUGGUUUUUUGUUUUUGUUUUUUUUCCAUUUCUUGAGCGAAUAGGGCACAGUGGUUAGGAGAACACACCCUCGAAGCCAGCCUGCACAGAUUUAAAUCUCGGCUUCAUCAUUGCCAGUUGUGUGAUCUCUGGGUGCCUCGGUUUCCUCACCCACACAGGAGGUCGUACUCACAGAGCUGUCCCACUUCCCGAGACUCUUGGGAGGACUGGGGUGUCCGUGCUCCCAAAGCUCCCCACGGGCCCCCAUUCCAGAUGGGGUAAGGACCGCUAUUGAGGGCCCAGUGUGCUGAGAGUCUGGAGAUCCAGACACAUUUGGGGCGGUCUAGGGCGGCUUGGCCAACACCUCCCUCUUGUCCCUCCUUUCCUGGACAUCCUACCCGACCGGCCCUGCUUUGUUCACUAUCUUCCUCCUCGUGGAACCCAGUCUGAUGCCUGCAGAUCACCCUUCCAGGAGUUUGGGAAACCAGGCUCUUCACUCACAUGUUCGCUCUGUCCAUGUGGGGUCUCAUCUCUUUGCUUUUGGUGACUUGAAUCCUUUAUCCCUCUCUCUGGCUUCGAGGCCUCUGCACAUGCAUUUCCCUUUGCUUGGAAGCUUCUCCUCCUCCUCUUUGCCUGCCCCACCCCUACUCAUCCACCUGGUGCCAGCUUGAGUGCUGAUCUCUCUGAGAACCCCAACUUCAUUCUGGGUUUUGGGCCCCCACAGAUCCGCCCAUAGAAAUGACCAUUGCACGGCAACUGCUCCUUCCUUGUAGGGGUCUCUCUGCCCCCCGAACCGCAUUAGACAUGAGUUCACCAAGGGCUGGAGGGGGCCCUCUUGUCCACUGUUGGACCCUCAGUGAGUGUCUGAUAACACAGCAUGGGCCUCACACAUUUUUAUGGACUGGAUACAUCUAAGGUGAUGUUACACAAGACAGCAGAAGUGAUUGCCGGCCCAGUCAUUCCUCCUCCAUUUUGCAAGGGGUGCCUUUGAUUGAUAUUGCCCGCUGGGGUGUAGAGUGAAACAGGGUGGAAGUCUCUGGGGUGGGGGGAGGGAGAAGGUUCUGGAAUUUCAACGAAGUGAGAAAGACUGGGGAAGAGGACCCUGUGAGCAGUCCAUUUCCUUUCUCAAUGUCCUCAAAGGGUUUUCAGUAAAGCAAUAAAGGAUAUUCAAUAAAGUGUGGUCCCCAAACCAGUAGAGCAGCAGCAGCAGCAUCACUCAGGAAUGAUUAGAUAAGGGAAGGGAAGGAAAAGUAAGGCAAAAACAGAGGGGAGGCAAGCCGUAACAGACCCUUAAAUACAACAAACUGAGGGUUGCUGGAGGGGUGUUGGGUGGGGGAUGGGUUAAUUGGAUGAUGGGCAUUAAGGAGGGCACUUGUUGGGAGGAGCACUGGGUGUCAUACGUCAGUGAUGAAUCACUGAAUUCUACUCCUGAAAUCAUUUUUACACUACAUGUUAAUUAACUUGGAUUUAAAUAAAAUUAAGAAAAAAAAGAUUAGAAAUGCAGAUUCUCUGACUCUGCCCUGGAUCUAUUGAAUCAGAAACCCAGUGGGUGAGGCCCUACAGUCUGUGCUGUAACCGGCCAUCCAUGGGUGUUCACAUGAACCAACUGCUGUAGAAACUUACGUACCUUUCAUCGCUCUUUGGAGCCACUCUUGGGCUUGGGCUUGGUCUUGGGGAGGGCUGCCUGUGAGGAGCUAGGCUGCAGGGUGACACAGCAAGGCUGAGUUCUGUUUCCUCUUACCCCCGAGGUCUCAGUGUGCAUUUGCUUUAACCUCCAGGUCCUGUCAGUGACCUCUGAUGGAGAAACUGAGUCUCAGAGAGGUAAGGAGCUUGGCUGAGGGAGAUCGCCAGAGUGAGUGAGUCAGGCUUUAGGGUUUGGAGCCGACUUCUAGCAUCAGUUGCGUUUUCCUAAGGCAUUUUGUCGCUGAGUCCAGGUUUCACGGUCUGCAGAAUGGGAACAUGGGUGCUUGGAGCCAGUCAUGGUUAAGGAUGUGGAAGGAAAGUGCAAAGAGCAUCAUGUAGAAGACGCUGUAGAAUUCCAGGUGCAUGCCUAUUGCUCACCGGGGAGGUGGCUUCACUGAUUUGACCCUUUUAGUAAUUUGGCAGUUGCCAUCACCAAAGCGUACUGUCCAGGACUGGGAGCCUGUCAACAUUGCUGCAGUUUCUGCUGGAGAGAGAGGGAAGGAGGGAGGGAGGGAGAAGAUGCCGGAAGCCUCCUGUUUGUUAAUACAUUUUGGAGGAAGACUUGGUCUGUAUCUGAUAUCAGUGCAUCUGUUCGGGACUGGGAGGACAGUCAGCAACCUGAGUCCUGGGGUGUGGCUGCAGACCUGUGGUCCCAAAAAUUGCCUGCUUGCUGGAAUCCCUGGGCAGAUUUUAAAAACUUCAUUGUCUGGCUGCAUUUGAGACCAAUGGCUUUAGAGUCUUGAUGGAUGGGGUCUGGGCUAUUGGUGAGGCCUCCCUAGGAAGAAAUGACUUCUGACUGACAUGAUAAAGCAUCCAAAAUAAAAUCCCAAAGAUGGUGACAAGGCAAGAGAAGAGGGGAGAGUCUAUUUAUUGAGCACCUGUUCCUCCAUGGUCACACCUUCUUCUUCUUUUUUUUUUUUUUUAAUUUUUUUUUUUCUUCAACGUUUUUAUUUAUUAUUUUUUUGGGACAGAGAGAGACAGAGCAUGAACGGGGGAGGGGCAGAGAGAGAGGGAGACACAGAAUCGGAAACAGGCUCCAGGCUCCGAGCCAUCAGCCCAGAGCCUGACGCGGGGCUCGAACUCACGGACCGCGAGAUCGUGACCUGGCUGAAGCCGGACGCUUAACCGACUGCGCCACCCAGGCGCCCCUGUCACACCUUCUUCUGAGCACAGCUGGGAAAGUUUCUUGGCUGUCAAGGACCCAGUGGUUAGACUGAUAAUCCAGAUUAGGCCCAGAUACUGCAGGAUAAUCUCCCCACCUCAAGGUGCUUAACUUAAUCACACUGCAAUGUCCCUUUUGCCAUAUAAAGGAACAUAUUCACAGGUUAUAGGGAUUAGGACAUAGACAUCUUUGAGGGUCCAUUAUUCGGCUUAAAACAAGUGCUUAGCACUGUCAGGGCUCAGUAAAAGUCAGCCAUAUUCCAGCAAUGACUUGGAGAGGCAGAUACCAUUAACCUGCACUGUGACCUUGGGCUGGUUACUUGGCAUCUCUGAAUGCCAGUUUCCUCCUCUGUAUAAUAGGGAUAAUGGUACCUGUCUUAUGGUGCUGUUUGUGAUAAUUAAGUGAAGUAAGGCAAGCAAAGUGCUUCUAUCAUUGUCUGACACAUAAUAAGCACCCAGGAGACAUAACCUAAAAUAAUAAUAAUGACGACAAAAAUAGCAUCGUCUUCAAUUUCCAUGGCACAGAGAAACAGGCCAUUGAAGAUUGAAAGGUCUGUUACAGACACAGGCAUGUGACUCCAAGCUCUGUGCUCUCUUUAGGAGAGGCAGAGUUCUGUGUAGUUCCCUGGGGAAGGACGAAGGCCGAGUGGACUCUUCAAGAAGCAAAUUUCAAUUCAUGAAAGAUCUUUUUACCAGGCAAGGUGUCGGGCAAAGGCCAAUCUCCUUCCCUGGCGGCUGCAGGGAAACCCCUCCACAGCCCCUUCUUCCAACGACCUCGUCUGUGAGUCUGGCAGAGGAGCAGGGUCAGGGCCCAGGGAGGUCUUAGGAUGCACUUUGCUGGCUUCCAGACCUCCCCCCUGCAGGAAAGGGGCUGAGGGCCCAUGGAGGCUCCCUGUGUAGUGGGUGGUUUGGCUUUCCGUGAGGAAUGCUAAGCUCCCGCCCCUCCUCUGUUCGUUAUCUUCUCUUUCUCAGGAAGUGACAGCCCUGUGGACGCACUGUUGGCAGAGGCGUUUGACAACACAGAAACAGAACAAUAGAGGUGGCGGCCCCUGCCCAUUUCGCAGAUGAGGAAACUGAGGCUCAGAGAGGUGCCAGGAUUUGCCUGAGGACAUAAUGCAGAGGGGAGAGAGCUGGGACCAGAGUCCAGACCUCCUGGCUCCAGGACCAGCUCCUUAUUCCCCCAUCCCUCCCAGGACAAAUGAGUGCGUUUGGGGCAUCGUGCCCGGUGCUCCUUGCCCAGCCCCCCACCUCCACGCAGUUGCCCCCUCCUGCAGCCCUUUCUCCAUGGCCUCCUGCCCAUCACCCCAAUGUGCCAAACUCUUUGCAGCCUCUGGUAUCUUUGCCCCUGCCAGUCCCUCUGCCUGGAGCCCCUGCUGCCUGCUCUGUGCAUAGCUGAUGCCUUUUCCUUUACACCUUGCUUACAUCCUUACAACCAGGGCAGUCGCAUCCGUGAGGCCCACCUCUUCUUCCUGUGCUGGUCUCGUUUUGUUUCUUUCUUUUACUCCCACAUCCCAAUUGGCUUGCACUGACUUGCUUGCCUGUCGG